AAUUUUUCCCACUAUGGUAUUUUAUUGUAAAUAAUAGAAUUAUUUAGAUCUACUGAUGGAGAUAUUUGUAUUGUUGGAGAUACCAGUUCCUCUCCAUCAUAUGGUAGAGUUGAUUUGUGUGUUAGUCAGACAUGGGGUACAAUUUGUGAUUCAUCAUUGACUGAUACUGAAGCUUCAGUUGUUUGUACACAACAAGGAUUCACUCCAUAUGAUGCAGUUGCUGUUUCUCUUGGUCAAAGCACUGUAUCAAUACCAACUAAUGUUGACUCUCUUAAUGUACUGUGAUCAAUUAUUUAAUUAACUAAUUGUAUUGUGAGCAGCAUUUUAUCAACAUACAUACUCAUUUUGGACAAACAUGGAUUAUUGAUGACCCCAGUAUAUAGUAUCUUCACAUACAGUCAGCCUGGUACAUGUAGCUGGAAUACUUUUUAUGAACCAGAAUACACUCCAUUGUUUGAUGCAAAGUUCAAUGCCCCAAAACUAAAAGAAAAAGCAUUAAAGUAUUGGAGAGGCUAAUAAAGAAACAGGAGGGGAUUUAGACAUUCUAGAAGAUAUAGAUCUACUUUAGCCAACUGUUUAUGAUCCUCAUGUGCCAAUUAUGGAGCAUGUGUUGGUAACAAUACUUCUGUUCUGAAGGAUAUUAAGGAAUAGUUUGCAAUCAAUCAGUACUUUAUGAAUGUGAAGAGAACAAUUGUGUGAAUGAAGGGACUUGUCAGUAGUUUAAUUGCUGGAGACACUGUAUACAAUUGCUUAGAUGGAUAUACAGGAAUUAAUUAUGAGGAUUUAAUUUCAAGCCCAACAUCAUAUCCUUCUGUAACACCAGUAGCACCAGCCUCAUUGUCUGAGAUUCUUGUAAUAGCUGUUGCUGUCAUCACUUUUAUUGUUGCAGUGAUAGUUUUCAUACUAGUGGCAAUAUUUUGUGUUCAAAGAAUGAAAAGCGAUCUAAAGACUCCUCCUCAGUCCCCACCAACAAAACCUUUGCCUUUAUAUGAUGAUCCUGAAAAAGAGCCUGAAGCAUAUGAAAUGGAUUGGCGUUCUAAAGGACAACAACAUGAAAAUUAAUUACUGCUAGUAUAAAAUAAUAUUUUUGCUGCAAAAGAAUCCUUAUGUCUUGUAUCUAAGUUAUUUUUUA
Long non-coding RNA from Amphimedon queenslandica, 1132 nucleotides. RefSeq lists it as uncharacterized. Lineage: Eukaryota; Metazoa; Porifera; Demospongiae; Haplosclerida; Niphatidae. The record is from RefSeq and is a predicted model, not a curated record. The transcript has 7 exons.